Molecule: unclassified non-coding RNA, 333 nt
Organism: Cavia porcellus (domestic guinea pig)
Lineage: Eukaryota; Metazoa; Chordata; Mammalia; Rodentia; Caviidae
Gene: 7SK
Rfam family: 7SK RNA
About the family: 7SK was discovered as an abundant small nuclear RNA in the mid-70s but a possible function has only recently been suggested. Two independent studies have found that 7SK RNA binds the CDK9/cyclin T complex (known as elongation factor P-TEFb). P-TEFb activates transcription by phosphorylating the C-terminal domain of RNA polymerase II.
Source: Ensembl
GGAUGUGAGGAUGAUCUGGCUGUGACAUCUAUUACCCUAUUGAUUGCCAGGUUUGAUUCGGCUGAUCUGGCUGGUUAGGCAGGUGUCCCCUUCCUCCCUCAGCAAUCCAUGUACAUCCUUCCUGAAGCUGCACGCUCCAUCAAAGAGGACCACCACCCCCAAUAGAGGAGGAUCCUUCCUUGGUCAAGGUUAUACGAGUAGCUGUGCUCCCCUGCUAGAACCUCCAAACAAGCUCUCAAGAUAGAUAGAUAUACUACUAAUCUCUGUUAGGUCAUCAAAAAGAACAGUUUGCACUUUCACUGUUUGAAAGUUUGAUCAUUUUUUCACGCCGGU